ACUGAACGCUGGCGGAAUGCUUUACACAUGCAAGUCGAACGGCAGCACGGACUUCGGUCUGGUGGCGAGUGGCGAACGGGUGAGUAAUGUAUCGGAACGUGCCCAGUCGUGGGGGAUAACGUAGUGAAAAUUACGCUAAUACCGCAUACGAUCUAUGGAUGAAAGCGGGGGAUCGCAAGACCUCGCGCGAUUGGAGCGGCCGAUAUCAGAUUAGAUAGUUGGUGGGAUAAAGGCCCACCAAGCCAACGAUCUGUAGCUGGUCUGAGAGGACGACCAGCCACACUGGAACUGAGACACGGUCCAGACUCCUACGGGAGGCAGCAGUGGGGAAUUUUGGACAAUGGGCGAAAGCCUGAUCCAGCCAUUCCGCGUGCAGGAUGAAGGCCCUCGGGUUGUAAACUGCUUUUGUACAGAACGAAAAGGUUUCUACUAAUACUAGGAGCUCAUGACGGUACUGUAAGAAUAAGCACCGGCUAACUACGUGCCAGCCGCCGCCGUAA
RNAcentral lists this ribosomal RNA (500 nucleotides) under uncultured bacterium. RNAcentral describes it as "partial 16S ribosomal RNA". It matches the Rfam family "Bacterial small subunit ribosomal RNA", at positions 30 to 523 of the family's 1533-position model. The record is from RNAcentral.